Molecule: transfer RNA, 69 nt
Filed under: Ovis aries (sheep)
Lineage: Eukaryota; Metazoa; Chordata; Mammalia; Artiodactyla; Bovidae
Rfam family: tRNA
About the family: Transfer RNA (tRNA) molecules are approximately 80 nucleotides in length.
Source: Rfam by way of RNAcentral
CCUGGUGGCUCAGUUGGUAGAGAAUCUGCCUGCAAUGCAGGAGACCUGGGUUCGAUCCCUGGGUCAGGA